Brassica rapa (field mustard) is the source of this 9755-nucleotide RNA transcript. RefSeq lists it as uncharacterized. NCBI's taxonomy places the organism in Eukaryota, Viridiplantae, Streptophyta, Magnoliopsida, Brassicales, Brassicaceae. The record is from RefSeq and is a predicted model, not a curated record.
UUUCUAAAAAAUAAAUCAAUUUCAAGAAAAAAAUAAUAAUCCACAGCUAAAUCUAUACUAUAUUAAAAAGAUUAUAUAAUCAACAGGGAGAGUGAAUCACCGACGAUCUACGAUCUUCCCUCAUGCAAGGAGGUGGAACUGCGACUAUAAAAAUUGAUUGGAGAGCAGUUUCAUUUAACUUCGAUAUAUGACAGUGACAAUGAUUGCGGCUGUAUCAACAUCGAUGAAGGAGUUCCCGUGAUCGGAAUGGAGUACAAACUGUCUCAGGUGUUGCAGUUCUCUUGGUCAUCAUUGAAAAAGUCAGGUAUAAAUAAACAUUGAUAAAGAAAUAAGCUUUCCAUCGACUAUCAAAUUAUUUUUUUCAGGAAUACUUUACUGACCUGAAGGCGUUGAAGCCAAACUAUGGCAGGUACCAGAGACGCUUCCAGAAUAAGCACUCUCUAAGAUGAGCACACCACCAAAGAGUGAAUCACCAAUCAUCACACCUGACGAACUAACUGAAGCUGAUGGGUUCGUCUUUGGAUUCCCAACAAGGUACGGCAUGAUGGCUGCUCAGCUCAAAGUCUUCUUGGACACUACCGGUGGACUCCGGAGAACUCAGUCACUUGCUGGUAAACCAGCUGGAUCUUCUACAGCAGUGGCUCUCAAGGUGGUAGCCAAGAAACCACUGCGUAAGUUCCCAUGAAACCAUGAGAGUCGUGAGCCGUAGUUUGUCAAUAAUAAAGUAGAUGUUUUUUUCUCAAGUCAUGUUCACGCAUACGUGAGGUCAGUAAGUACACAAAACUUUAGCUCAUUAUGUCUCCGUUUAAACUAUAGAUUAUGAUAAUUUUUUGAGCUUCUGUGAAACCAUGAACUCUUUUUUUUUUAUCAACUACCAUGAACCCAUAUCAAACAUAGCAGACACCGUGGUUAAUGACAUUUCCAGUCCACUAAAAGAUCAAUCUGCUCAUGUCUACAUCAUUUGUGAUGGAGGAAACAUUGAAGGAUUUGCUACCAAGUCAGCUAUAUAAUAAAGGACUUAUGGUCAUUGCAAACAACCUUUUUAUUAGAUUUUAGAUGUGUUAUAUGAUUUCUGCAGAAUGACUGAGCCUCAGCCUAAGUACUCUACCACAGAGAAGCAAGUUUUGGACAUGCUAUAAUCUCGAUAGAGAAAUGUACAUAUGCGCAGUAUGGAUGGGACAGGAAAAAUUUACGUAGUCAGGGCUGGCACCAUGUUGUUUUACAACUGGUUAUGGCAUCCUGAUGGUGAUUCUACUUCUUUUUCUUGAGAACCUCAAUAAAUAUAUCAGUUGCAACAUCUACAAAUAUAACCGUGACUGAUAACAGAGACUGACUGCUAAUGGUUCUGAGUCAUUCCCACUGCACAAAAGAACAAACAAAAAAAAAAGCCAAGUUGAAUAAUAAGACACAAACCAUCCAUACAUUACGUAAGAUGUAGAAGAUAUACUUUGAAUUUACAAAACCAUUUAACGUAAUAAAAAUACAAUAAAAGAGUAGAUAUAGUCAUGCACUGAAAAAAUCUAAAUAGAUGUCAAGAACCCAAAAAAUAUCUACAUUUAAAGAAAGAAACACACAACAAAAUAAUAAGCAACCAAGCUUUGUUGUUGUCAAUAUUACCCUUCACGCAAGCAUCUCUAACCAGUAAUAUGUCUGAUCUGCACUAAAUGAUUGAACCACUGAAAAGAGAACAUCCAAUAUCAGCAUGAAAGUGGAGAAGAGAAUGGUAGCAAACAAAACAAACAGUGUAACCUAUAACCUAUAGGAUGAAACAAAACUAAAACCAAGAAGACUUGGAUGAAUAAGAACAACGAAAACUAUAAAGAUAAUGGUGAUGAUUGGUUCGAUUGUGGCUUUAAAAAUUUAGCUGUCGAUGUUUAGCUGUAGAUAAAUUGGUUGUAGCUGUAAAGUUGUUACUGUAGAUUUUUUCUGCAGAGACUUUUGCUAUAGUUAAAUUUGUUGUAGUUGUAAGUUAUAGGCUGUAGAUAUUUUAAAAUAAAAUAUAUGAAAUAUGUGUUGUAUAUAUAAAAUUAUUAUUUUAUAUGAAUUAAAAUAAUUUAUAUUAAUAUUUGUUUUUAUAAAUUAUCAAAACUUAUUGUAAUUUAAAAUGUGAUAUGUAAAUAAUAUUUAUAUUAUUUAAAUAUCUUAAUAAUUAAAAAACACUCAAAUUCAAAAUUAAACUAUUUAUAAAAAAUUUUAUUAUGAUUAUAUAAUUUAUUUGAUAUUAUAGAUUUUUUUUUUUCAUUUUACAGAUUUUACAGACUAUAAAAAGAUGAUGUAGCAUUUUUGCCUAAAAUACAUAAGAAAAAGUUUUACUUUAUUUUUUUGGCUGUAGCUUUAAAAAUAAAGCUAAAGCAUGAUUGGUAAAACUAAAUAAAAAUUUGAUGUAGACUUUAAUUUUUAAAAGUAAAGUUACAACAUGAUUGGUAAAAUUUAGUGAUUUAAAAAUAAAUAAAGCUAAAGUAGGGAGAUAAAUCUCAACCAAUCACCCUCAAUAUAUUUGUGCCAUACUGUAGUUAUAAAGUUAAUAAUAUAUUUUAGAAUGAAAAACUAAUAAAUAUAAUUAUUCUUAUGUGUAACAACUACAGUAACCAAAGUAACCAAUUAACUUUUGAUGUGAGAGAUCUAAUGUAGAAAAUAAAUUUGUAAAUAAUAGUAGAAAUAGAUAAAUAGAUAUUUUAAAUGUACACAAUACAAUAUAUAUAUAUUCAUAUAAUUAAUUCAAUUAAUUAAAACAAAGAGGCUCCAAAUCAACAUGAUAUACUAUAUUUACUAUUAAAAUUAUGGGCUGGAAAAGAGAAAAUUAUAAUUAAACAGUUAAAACACAUGAUAAAAUAAACCAAAACAAUAAAAAUUUAAAGAUCUACACAUUUUAAAAAAUAUGGCUAAACUAAAUAGAAAAUAAGUCAUACGAAUUUAUAAAUAAAAUUUAUAUUAUUUCAAUAUAUAUAAAUGAAAAAGUUCAGAUUAACCAUUUCAGAAAAAACAAAAUGACAAAAAUAAAAAUUUGUAUCCUUGAGAACAAGUAACUUUGUUCAGUAUACCCCACUCUGCGGAAUUCUUGAUAAAAUAAUACAGUAAUACUAGGUGUUUGUCCACGAUUUCGCAAAUGAUAAUAUUAUAUGAAAAGUACAUGAUAUUUUUAUAAUGAUGUAAUUGUUGAAUAAUAAUUAGAAAUAUUAAAAAUUAAAAUUUAAUAAGUUGAUAUUAAAAAAUUUCAGUAUAUAUUUUUAGAAGAGCUGUGAAAUUUAAGAUAAUUACAUAAAUAUAAGACGCUAAAAAUAUAUUUCUUAAAUGUAAGUAUUAUUACAAUUGGUUCAAAUAAUUAGUUGUUAAUACCUUUUUGUUUAUUUAACACAUGGAAAACGAAAACACUCUUACAUGUUCUUGUGUAGUUCCAAAAAUAUGGUUAGAGGCUUAUAUAGCUCUGGCUACUUCGUUAAUGAUUUGUUUUCUUUAUGUUUAUAUAGAUCUAAUGUAAACAAUCAAUUCGUGAAUAAUAGUAUAAAUAUAUAUUUUAAAUUUACACAUUACGAAAUAUUAAAUAUAAUAAAUAUAUUCGUAUGAUUAAUUCAUAUUACUUAAAAAAAAGAGGGUCAAAAUCAACAUGAUAUACUAUAUUUACGAUUAAAAAUAAUUUAGGCUGGAAAAGAGCAAAUUAUUAUUAAAAAGUUAAAACACAUGAUAAAAUAAACCAAAACAAUAAAACUUUAAAGAUCAACAUAUUUUUAAAAAUAUGGCUAAACUAAAUAGAAAAUAAGACGUACGAAUUUAUAAACAAAAAAUAUAUUAUUUCAAUAUAUAUAUAUAUAUGCAAAAGUUCAGAUUAACCAUUUCUGGAAAAAAAAUAACAAAAUUAAGAAUUCGUACCCUUGAGAACAAGUAACUUUGAUCAGUAUACCCCACUCCGCGGAACUUUUGAUUAACUAAUACUAGGUGCUUGCCCGUGAUUUUGCGGAUAAUAAUAUCAUAAGAAAAAUACGUGAUAUGUUUAUAAUGUUAUAAUUUUUGAAUAAUAAUUAUAAAUACUAAAAAUUUAACAUUUAAUAGUUUGAUAUUCAAAAAUUUCAGUACCUAUUUUUAGAAGAGCUGUGAAAUUUAAAAUAAUUACAUAAAUAUAAGUCGCUAAAAAUAUUUUUCUUAAAUGUAAGUAUUAUUACAAUUGGUUCAAAUAAUUAGUUGUUAAUACCUUUUUGUUUAUUUUAACACGUGGAAAACGAAAAACACUCUUACCAUAAAAAUGUAUUUUUGUGUAGAUCCAAGAAUAUGGUUAGAGGCUUCUAUAGCUCUGGCAUCUUCGUUGAUGAUUUGUUUUAUUUAAAUUUCUUUCAUUUGUUUGAUUGUUUCCAAUUUAUUUUAAAUUUGAUAAAAAAACUAAAUUGUUUUUAUGUAUUUUUUUCAAAACAAAAGUUUCGGGUAUGACUAAAAACUCAAUUUUAUUUUUAUAUGUGAAUAAGGUAUUAAACAAUCUUAACAUUUAUAAACCAUUCACGCCCAAACAUACUUUAAAACCAUCAAAGUUGUUAUAUACACCUCUUACAAAUCAUCAUAAACACACAUACAGUGAAAAUAUACAAUAAUAUGGUUAUAUAUAUAUAUAUCACAAUAAUAGAGUGAAAAUAUGGAUAUUGGAUUUUUUUGGUCAAAACCAAAUUAAGUUGUAGUUUAAAGAUUGAUUGGAUCUGAUAUUUGAUUUUAUGGGGUGUUUCUAUUUAUUUUGAAUCGACUGAUGAUUGAACCUGUCGAGUUGAUUUUUGGGUUUGUAUUUCCAGGCUAAAUCUCUGUCGUCGACCAAACACUGAUCAUGAAGAAAUCAGCAAACUAUCAUUUUCAAAAGCCAAGGAUAACAGAAAGUCAUCAUCCAACUUAUAAUAUUAUAAGAGACAUAUAAAAACAUACAAAUUAUAUAAAUAACACAUAUAACAAAAAAAAAUGUGAUGUUGAGAUUAAUAAAAUAUUUUAUAAAUAACUAAAUAUGUAAAAAUAUUUUUGAGAAUAACUUAGGUUUAAAAAAUUAUUUAAUAAUUUCACAUUGUUCACUAUCCCAUACAUAUUUUAGAUAGUAGAAGAUAACAAAUUGUGAGUUUUACUCAUUUUAGUUCAAUUUAUUAUUUAUAUUUUAUAACAUAGAUGUAAUAUAUUGUAAUAUACAUAUAAAAUAUAUGUUAUUUGUAUAUAGCCCCGGGCGUAGCCCGGGCAAAAUCUCUAGUCAUUAAUAAACUAAGUAAAUCAAAGAUUUAGACUGCGAGUAGAUUGUAGAUUUUUGGAAUUGAAUGAUGUGGAAUGACCUAUUCUAUUAAUUCCAUAAUUUUUUUUUUUACUAUUUGACAUGAAUGUAAUGAAAUAUUCAUUCCAUCAGUUCCAAAAAUAAAAGGAAUGGAAUGAAUUCCAUAACAAAUUUGAUCAUGAAUUAAUAGAAUGAAUUCCAUUCCAUUUUUUGAUGUACUUCAUUCCAACUAUUUUAAAUUCCACAAAUUUCAUAUUUGUUUACCAGUUACACCCUUAGUUAUUUGUGUAUUGACAAAAUAAAAUUAAAACAUUAAACUGAAUCAAUUGAUUAGUGCUAAAACGACAUCUUCUAAGAAAUAUGUAGGUGGUGUUAUUCAAUCAUGUACUCUAAUAAAGUUUAAAUAUAAACAUAAUACAUUUUUAUUCAAAUGAUGUUUAAAAUUUCUAUUUUAAAAUAUAAUGUUAAUCAAUGAAUGAUUUAAAUCUAGUUUUUAAAAUCUAGUGUUAUUCAACUUUUAAGGAUUUUAAUUUUUUUUUGUAUUUUGGAUUGAUUUCAAAUAAUUUCUUAUGGAGUCUUGAUUGAACUCAAAAUCCAAUGCAUACUGCAGAGAUUUUAGAAUCCAUCAAUUUAAACUAUCUUAAAUUUUUAAAUUUUGUCAUAUUACAAAACAUUAAUAAUUGAUUUUAAAUCACAAUUGAUAACACCCCUAUAUUAUUUGAGAUAAUCUCCCACUUAUCUUUAUACUUCUUCUCUAACAUAAAAAACUAAUAUACAGAUAAUUUUUGUUCUAAUGCUUAUCUUUAUAAUGUAAGGAUUUUACUUUUGAAGAAAAAUAUAGAUGAAUGUUGUUUAGAAAUGGAUUAAAAGUUAUCUCAAAGAUCAAAGAGUCAAAAUCUGCUCACGGCAGACAAGGUAGACAUUUACUUCCAGCACCAUCACCUCUUCUAAUUCAUCAUUGCGGUGGUGAUUCCUCCUCGCCGUCAAGGAUUUAUCGAGUCGAUUGUAUCUUGCGAUCGAAAUGAUUGGGUUGAGGCUUCGUUUGUGGCUUCUAAUCUCGUGGAAGGUAACGGUGUGGAAGUCAACGAUGGUCAUUUCAAUGUGUGUCACGCUAUUAAUCUUGUUGAGCUAGUUGGCCAGUUGGCAGUCAUUUUGCGUCGUUACAUCUACCACAGGAAUGGAGCUGCUAACGUUUCUUGUUUUUACCAUGUUUUUUAAUACUUUUACUUUCCACUUAAAUAUAUGUAAUUCAUCAUAUAUGUAAUUCGUCCGCUUUUUACCACAAGAUUCUGUUAUUGAAUUUUUUCAAUUUUCAUUAAAAACAGUUUAAAAAAAUUAAAAACUAACGACAGAGACAUAUAUAACUAGAUUUUGGAAGAUGUAUGGUCAAGACGGAGUUGUAGUAGUUCAUAAAGCACGACAUGAACUACAACAUCAGAUGUGGAUACAAGAGUUGGUCUAGACGGUUAACGAGCAUUAAAGGAAGAUUUAGUGAAGAUGUCAGUUUAAAGGAAGUAUUGAAGAAGAAGCAAUCGAGCUUAGAGGAAAGGUAUAUUGGCUUAUUCGCUGAAGAAGUAUAUAUGGAAAGUUUCCAUUAGGUAGAUUUUACAUCUAGGGUUUGCCUCUAAAAAUAUAAAGAGGAGUCUUGGCAAUGUGUGGCCGUUUAACACACAGAGAGAGCUUUUAGCAAUAGCAAGGUUUGCAAGUCCGAAUAAGGAGAAGAAAAACCACUAGGGGUUAAGAGCUUGAAUGGUUCAUAGACUGCAUCAAGUCUGUGAACGAGUGAGACUAGUCAACCAGCCAAAGUUUGUCUUGAGCUUACUUGAAGAAUUGCUUUGAAGAAGAACUUGUAUGUGCUUGUAAAAGGAUUAAUCUAGUCAUAUUUGUUGAAAAAAAAUAUUCAUGUGUUACAGUGUGUUCUAGUUAGUGUAGUUUGAUUAUCUUACAUUAACAGUUUUUACUUUUUAUUACCAAGUAAGUCUUAAGUAAAAAAGUUAUCUUAUGAUUUGGUUUCAUCAAUUUUGCAAGCAUUAAAAAUUCAUAUCAGUGCAUGGAUCUUAACGAACCUUCGUGCAUUGCUUUUAAUUUUAAGAGAAAACCAAACUAUUAGGCAAAUUCAAAUUAUAUAUCAAACUAUUGAUUAAGAUUAGAAAAAAAAAUGCGACCAUCAAAAUGUUUCUUACUUUAAAUUUUAACAAUGUAAAAUGGGACAAUCAAGUACCUUUAGAAAGCAAGACAUGCAUUUUGAAUACCAUUAAGUAUGGUGUCUUCCAAUUGUUUUUUUUUAAUGUUCUUGAAGAUGUUAUUUUGUGUCCUAAAGGUGUACAUAUAAUGUGCCAUAAGACUUAUUAUGAUUCCACUAAGUAUUUGGCAAACUGCUUUUUUGUUGAAAUAUUUAUGAGUAGCAUUGAGAUGAGAAACUAGGUAUGACUCACUUUCUUGUUUUUCAUAUAAUAUUUAUCAUUUGAUAAUAAAAUAUAAUGAGAUUUUUCUCCUCUUCAAUUUUUACUUUUUUCCAUAAUAUUAAUAGAUUAAAAUUUACAACUAACUUAAAAAUGAAUAUGUCCAUAUUAUUUAAACUAACACACAAUCUCAUAUCAUAGCAUGUAUAAGAGAUGUUUUUAGAAAAAUAUUUAGGAUAACAAAAACAAAUUAUACCAUAAUAUAGUACAUAAGGAAAAAUGAGUCAGUAAUAUUCAUUAGGUUAAGCCCUUCCUCACAAAAAAAAACAUUCAUUAGGUUGAAAUUACUUUAAAACAUAUAUUUACGGUUGAUUGGUUAAUAAUAAAAGUCUAAUUUUUUGGAAGUAAGAAUUUAGAAUCUGAGUAUUAUGAUUUAUGGUCAAGAAUUGAAGAAUUAGUAUAUAAAGUUUAAAAUAAUCUAUCUAUAAUAAUAAAGGAGAGUUGUCUCUCUCCUUAGGCUAUCCAGCUCAGCAAAGAGGGAGGGGCUUUUGUUGACAGCUGGCACUUCUUUAUUCUGCCGUUCUCUUUAUUUUUCAUUCAAUCGGCAUCAAUAUUCUCCAAUGUAACCGAUAGAAACUCAGAUUCUUGGUACUAAUACUCACCAAAUCAUCAGCAGGCACAUCUUGGGAUGGAUUCACCAAUCGUUACUUCACUGAUAUCGGCCUUGGUCCUCUCAGAGAUUUUUACAACUUUCAUGAAGCUUCCCGGAGAGAUCUCAAAACGUCUACAGCCAUGGUGAGCACUAAAGUUUAGAGAACUAUGACCCAGCUAAUCUUACGUUUCCGUUGAUCUUUUCUCUUUCAUAUCUUUGUUGUUUUUUUUUUUGAUCAAACAAUAUAUCUUUGUUGUUAUGACUACUUUCUCUGUAUUCUUUGACUGAAUCUCCCUUCGUAUUCCAGUGGUUUCGCAACAGCUCAAUAAGUUGACUUGAGUUUUGGUUUCUUCAAAGUGUAAGCUCCAGAAUAAUUGAUUUGCCGGGUUCCAAGUUCAAUAAGUUGAUCACAUAGAGUAAACACUGAAGUCUGAACUAUUUUUCAUUGUUUUUAAAAGUAAUCAUAUUUAUGUGAAUGAUAAGUGGGAUAUCGUCGGAUUCCGUAUGGGAGAAGAAGCUUCGUCGGAUUUCGUAUGGGAUUCCUUUGCAGAUGAUAACAAGGUUUGAAUUUUAACUGGCUUUGGGGAUUAGGGUUUCUAUGUGAUGAUACAAAGUCAUGGUCUUUUAUGGUAUCAGCUAUGGUUUGAUAGGGUUUCAAUGGGUGUCAAGUUGUUUUUAACGAUCCAGGAGAAUUUACUUACAUUUAGUGUUCUUGCGUAAUAGAGUUGCAAAAGAUACCAUCUUUAAUGUCUGUUGUUGUAUUGUUGGGUGAGUGGUGACCUAACUUUUCCAGCUUUCUGAACUUCUUGCCUACGAAAAAUCAGUAUAAUUAAGAGAUCAUUCACAGUGUUGGAGGUGUUGUGUAUCUCUUCAGAGGCAGAAAUUACAACUAUCACACACGUCCUCAGUGCCAAUUGAUGCUGUGGGAACUAGCAGCCCCUGUUUAUCCAAAGCUCAUUCAAGAAAUUCCAGAAAGAUUGACCAAAGAUGAAGGCUUCAUGGUGAAGGGCAUGUCUCUUAAGCCGACAUGCAAGUUGUCUAAAAAUAAGGUGUACGUGUCGCUGGUCAAAGAAGUUAGUGAUGCCUUCGAGCUGAGUCACUUGGUGAAAGUUGAUUGCCCAGGACUUGAACCAAGUGAUUAUGAGAAAAUAAGCGCUGAGCUUAAGGUCUAUAAGUCCUUUUGUUUUUUUUUGGGGCUAUACAUUGCACAGCUCUGCAUCUUCAUUGCAAUCACUUUCCGUCAAUCUCAUUUAGCAUGUCAUAUUGAACGAUUUGAAUUUUCAUGCCUUAUGACUUUUAUUAACUAGGGAUUAAUCCGGGCUACGCCCGGGAUUUUUAUUUUUUUCUAAUUUAAGUUGUUAAAUUAUUUAUAUUUAGGUUAUGAUAUAUAUUUAUAUAAAUGUUAAGAUGCAUGUCAUAAUUAAAAUUUAUUUUUAAAUUUUAACACGUUAAAGUAACAUAUUUUUUACUGUUUAAA